This is a long non-coding RNA of Zeugodacus cucurbitae (melon fly), 1492 nucleotides long. RefSeq lists it as uncharacterized. Lineage: Eukaryota; Metazoa; Arthropoda; Insecta; Diptera; Tephritidae. The transcript has 2 exons. The record is from RefSeq and is a predicted model, not a curated record.
UAUUCCAGGCAUUUAACCGCUUUUUUAAUAAUCUUUAAAGGUAUGAGCUCAACAUCGUUCUUAAGUAAUUUUUCAACGGCUGUAUAUUAUUUCAUAUUUCUGUUUGAUAUUUUAAACAUAAGUCAAAUUUUUUUCUUCAAAUUUUGAAAUUUUUAAACCUAACUAAUCACUUAAACACGGUCUUCUUGCUAGUUCAACUAGAUUUGAUUACAUGACGCGUUAUUAAAAAUUAAGUGUUAUAAUUUCUUUACGAUUUUUUAUUUUAUUUUUUUAAUCAUGUACAUAUGUACAUAUGUAUGUACAAACUUAUACAGCAGUAGUUGCUGUUGCUCACAUGCUAUUGUAUCAAUGUGUCUUACUGUCGCUGCAUACUAUUUACAAAAAUAAUAAAAAGAUUUCGAAUAAAAUCAAACAAAGUUGAUACAUAAAUAAAAAAAAUUAAAAAUUUGUAAGUACAUACAUACAUACACAUAUACACGCCGUAAUUAUACGCUGAGUUCGUUGCUAAUGUGCUACCACUUUUUUCUAACUUUACGUAUAAACUGUAAAUUGUUUCAUGGGUCGGUUACCUGAGAUACUUUUCUAACUACCAAAUCAAAUGCACAGUCCGACACACAUAUUUAUAUACAUAUCUAUAUGCAUAUGUAUUUGCGCCGAAAACAACAUAGAGCACCAUAAAAUCUGUGAGCACCACGCACAUACAACUCCCACUAUAAAAUACACUUAUUUCACUCUACGGAGCAACUCACAACUACACAAAUAUAUAUAUAUAUAUAUGUGCGUGCGUGUGUGUGCAUGCUUUUGAGUUCACUCAUUUUCUCAUUUACUCACACGCUCAUUUGUAACACGAUUAUUUUGCUUUUUUGUUUUUUUUGUUGUAUUUCUUCGUUCAACACCAUUCACUCUCUGCAUUUUUGCGGCGCUCAUUACGCUCUUUGAUUUGCAUUGUUGAUUUGCUCUCCUUUUGUUUCGUUUAUACAAUUUUCCUUGCGUUACACGGCAGAUAUUUCGGUGUUUUGUGAACUGCGUGUGGAGUGUGAAGUGCUUGUUCGGAAUAUAUUACGGCUACGGCUGGUGAACACAUCAUCAACAACAUUAUUUGCUACCAAAAAAAUAUUUCCGCUGUUUGCAGUAAUAGUAACAAACUGACGCUGCGUGGUGAAGUGUCGUUGUUUUGCUUAUUGGUAAUGUUUGUUCGCGUCAAAGCUCACACGUUUUAUAUUUGAUAGUGCGGCGACUAUACAUAUGGUAUGCGUACGGUGCGCACGUAGAAAAUUGUUAAAAAAUUUUGACCAUAUCACUCGUUUUGGCACAUUUUGAUAACAACAUUUUUUCCAAAUAAACUGCUCGACAUAAUAUGCGCUAUCAAUAAAGACACAUAAGUAAAAAGUUCCUAUUUAACAAUUAUUAUAAACUUUAAGGAAAAUGAAAUCAACUCUGUAAAUAAAAUAAUUAAGUAUAAGUAGCAUGAAAAAUAAGGUCAUAAAACAAG